Molecule: ribosomal RNA, 555 nt
Filed under: uncultured bacterium
Lineage: Bacteria
Description: partial 16S ribosomal RNA
Rfam family: Bacterial small subunit ribosomal RNA
Source: RNAcentral
UAGGGAAUCUUCCACAAUGGACGCAAGUCUGAUGGAGCAACGGCCGCGUGAGUGAAGAAGGUUUUCGGACCGUAAAGCUCUGUUGUUGGUGAAGAAGGAUAGAGGUAGUAACUGGCCUUUAUUUGACGGUAAUCAACCAGAAAGUCACGGCUAACUACGUGCCAGCAGCCGCGGUAAUACGUAGGUGGCAAGCGUUGUCCGGAUUUAUUGGGCGUAAAGCGAGCGCAGGCGGAAGAAUAAGUCUGAUGUGAAAGCCCUCGGCUUAACCGAGGAAUUGCAUCGGAAACUGUUUUCUUGAGUGCAGAAGAGGAGAGUAGAACUCCAUGUGUAGCGGUGGAAUGCGUAGAUAUAUGGAAGAAUACCAGUGGCGAAGGCGGCUCUCUGGUCUGCAACUGACGCUGAGGCUCGAAAGCAUGGGUAGCGAACAGGAUUAGAUACCCUGGUAGUCCAUGCCGUAAACGAUGAGUGCUAAGUGUUGGGAGGCUUCCGCCUCUCAGUGCUGCAGCUAAUGCAUUAAGCACUCCGCCUGGGGGAGUACGACCGCAAGGUUGAAAC